This 484-nucleotide ribosomal RNA is filed under the name uncultured bacterium. RNAcentral's name for it is "partial 16S ribosomal RNA". It matches the Rfam family "Bacterial small subunit ribosomal RNA", at positions 28 to 507 of the family's 1533-position model. The record is from RNAcentral.
AUUGAACGCUGGCGGCAUGCUUUACACAUGCAAGUCGAACGGCAGCGCGGGCUUCGGCCUGGCGGCGAGUGGCGAACGGGUGAGUAAUGCAUCGGAACGUGCCCAGUAGUGGGGGAUAGCCCGGCGAAAGCCGGAUUAAUACCGCAUACGACCUGAGGGUGAAAGCGGGGGACCGAAAGGCCUCGCGCUAUUGGAGCGGCCGAUGUCGGAUUAGCUAGUUGGUGGGGUAAAGGCUUACCAAGGCGACGAUCCGUAGCUGGUCUGAGAGGACGACCAGCCACACUGGGACUGAGACACGGCCCAGACUCCUACGGGAGGCAGCAGUGGGGAAGUUUGGACAAUGGGGCCAACCCUGAUCCAGCCAUGCCGCGUGCGGGAAGAAGGCCUUCGGGUUGUAAACCGCUUUUGUUCGGGAAGAAAUCCUCUGGGCUAAUACCCCGGGGGGAUGACGGUACCGGAAGAAUAAGCACCGGCUAACUACGUG